AGAAGGAAUGAAAAAUUUGACGAGGCGACGGCACGGUGGCGGUGCAGACAGAGGAAGAGAUUUUUAGCGCUCUUGUUCAUUGGAGGUUUCAAUCUCAUUGAGGUACAAUCUAUACAGUUAAAAACUCAUUCAGCAGCUUAUAAUUUCUUUCUUUCCCCUUCCACACACACACACACACACACACACACAUACACACACACACACACACACACACACACACAUAUAUAUAUAUAUAUAUAUAUAUAUAUAUAUAUAUAUAUAUAUAUAUAUAUAUAUAUUAUUCUGUUGAUAUUGGCUCCUCAAGCCUACAAACUAAAAGUAAUUAAUUAAUUAAGGACGAGGAGGCGGCCUAGGGAGAGGAAUUCCAUUGAGAAAAGAAUGAAACAAAGUGAGGGCUUGAGAGGGAGAGNNNNNNNNNNNNNNNNNNNNNNNNNNNNNNNNNNNNNNNNNNNNNNNNNNNNNNNNNNNNNNNNNNNNNNNNNNNNNNNNNNNNNNNNNNNNNNNNNNNNUAUUUUUCCAGCUAGAUUUCAAGAGUAUGUGGAUUAUUUUAUAAUGACUUAAAUAAGUUGAAAUUUAAAAUGAAUUAUAAGUCCUUUUAAGUUGUGAUUUAAAAAGAAAAGUGUUUGACAUCAUUUUACUUAAAAGUUAAAAAUUCAGUUAUUUUAACUUGUGAAGGUGUUUGCCUAAAAUGACUCAUAAUUUAAAAUAAUUUUUAAAGAUAACUAAAAUGAGGGCAAAACAAUUUUUACAUUUGAUCAAACUUGUUUAUUUUAAAAUCACUUAUAAGUUAUUUUUUGAGAAGUAAGAAAUUGUUACGCCUCAAAAAUGAUUUAUAAGUCAUUUAUAAGUUAAAAAUAAGUCACAAACGAACACUUGAACAGUAAAAAACUAUUUAUAAGUUGGUUUGACCAACUUAUAAAUAGUAGCCGAAGUUUGGUUAGUGAUUAAUGAGUAGUAGUACUCCAGUAGUUCCGAGUUUUGGAAGUUAAUGAUACCUCAAUAGUAUGUAAAAAUAAUGCUAGAGCUCUCAAUUUUUUUAUAUAAGGUCAAUGCUCUCAAGUCUUAAUGACUUGGAAAAGUUUAGACACCAUAAUACUACAUUCUUUUUAUAUAAGAUUAUGUCACUAUCUCUACUUGCAAUGAGGUUGCGAUAAUGUCUGUGCUGCUGCUUGUGAUCUCUUUAAUGAAACCAAGUUUAUAUUUUCUUUUCUUUUGGUGAUUAGAUGUUAAAAUAGUACUAAUUACGAGUUAAUUUUCAAAAGGAAGGUCCCCUCGUAUUAUUUUUCUCCUUUUUUGGUGUUUGUUUAUUCCUUUUGCUUGCUUCUGCCUAUCAACACAGGCUAGAGAUAUUUGAAUAUGAAACAUGGACAACAAUAUUGGAGAUUCGCAUAAACAAACUAUCUGAAAAAAAAGGGUUUGAGCUUUACUUGAGUGAUAAUCAUGGACUCUCACCAUUAGAAACCAAUAUUAAUAGAAUGAAGCUUGCGGAGUUACAGUCAGAUAAUAAGGAAGGUCCCCUCGUAUUAUUUUUCUCCUUUUUUGGUGUUUGUUUAUUCCUUUUGCUUGCUUCUGCCUAUCAACACAGGCUAGAGAUAUUUGAAUAUGAAACAUGGACAACAAUAUUGGAGAUUCGCAUAAACAAACUAUCUGAAAAAAAAGGGUUUGAGCUUUACUUGAGUGAUAAUCAUGGACUCUCACCAUUAGAAACCAAUAUUAAUAGAAUGAAGCUUGCGGAGUUACAGUCAGAUGUAGAGUCAGAGUCAGAUUCAGAUACAAGUUCUUAAUCCAUUUCUAGUGAUAAUCCUACUAAUAAAAUUUACCCCCUUUUUAUCCUGUGUCUGAGCAGAGAUGUCUGGCCAACACCUCAUAUGCUCUUCCUUUUGUGUCAUCCUCUUUAUUUUUUUGGACGAGUGACUUCAUUUUGAUUGUUUUUAAUGACUAUUUAAUUGGUAAAUAAGUUUUCUAAAUAAAGUACAUUGCUCUAUUUUCCCAGGAUCUCACAAAUGGAUGGGUAGAUUUAUUAUCUUGAAAAUUUUAAUAGUGGCUGAUUUUCUUAAAGAUUGUAUUGCAAUCACGGAUUAAGAAGAGGGAAAGUUCAUAGUAGCAAUGUUCGAAACAGCGCUCGAGGCGUACGCCUCGAGGCGCGCCUCGUAGCGAGGCGGAAGAAAGAGUUCGCGAGGCGGCCGCUUAGUUUGGAAUCGUAGAAGCCUGCGCCUUUUCCAGUCGAAGCUUACUCCUCGUGGCGUUGCGCCUCAAGGCGUCGUGAGGCGUGCGCCUCGAUUUGGCUUUGAAAAAGCCCUAAAUAGCAGAUUCGGAACUUACCGAAGAGGCGAAGACUGCUCCUUUCUCCUCUUCGACUGCUCCUUCGACC
Molecule: long non-coding RNA, 2371 nt
Filed under: Panax ginseng (ginseng)
Lineage: Eukaryota; Viridiplantae; Streptophyta; Magnoliopsida; Apiales; Araliaceae
Description: long non-coding RNA (PGIN_LNC016841)
Source: RNAcentral